RNAcentral lists this ribosomal RNA (397 nucleotides) under Wolbachia endosymbiont of Tamarixia dryi. RNAcentral's name for it is "bacterial SSU rRNA". It matches the Rfam family "Bacterial small subunit ribosomal RNA", at positions 1013 to 1408 of the family's 1533-position model. The record is from RNAcentral. Lineage: Bacteria; Pseudomonadati; Pseudomonadota; Alphaproteobacteria; Rickettsiales; Anaplasmataceae.
GGUCGGUUCGGCCGGGUUUCACACAGGUGUUGCAUGGCUGUCGUCAGCUCGUGUCGUGAGAUGUUGGGUUAAGUCCCGCAACGAGCGCAACCCUCAUCCUUAGUUACCAUCAGGUAAUGCUGGGGACUUUAAGGAAACUGCCAGUGAUAAACUGGAGGAAGGUGGGGAUGAUGUCAAGUCAUCAUGGCCCUUAUGGAGUGGGCUACACACGUGCUACAAUGGUGGCUACAAUGGGCUGCAAAGUCGCGAGGCUAAGCUAAUCCCUUAAAAGCCAUCUCAGUUCGAAUUGUACUCUGCAACUCGAGUGCAUGAAGUUGGAAUCGCUAGUAAUCGUGGAUCAGCACGCCACGGUGAAUACGUUCUCGGGUCUUGUACACACUGCCCGUCACGACCAUGG